CUAAAACCAGAAUGGCCUUUCAACAAUUGCCUAACCUCCUCGAUCUCGACAAUCUUGAGAAUGAGAGUUACUAGCUUGAACCAAAAGUGAGCAAUCACUUUCAAAAAUUACCUCUUCAUGGUGCAAAGACUGGGCAAGUAGAAUACCAUCUCGAAGUGCGAGAAGCUCGGCAUGAAAUGGUGAUGUGAGUAGAGCAUAUGGUUUCAUCUGUCCACCGAUGAAACUACCAAUGAAUUAAAAAGCGCACCCUGAGGCUCAAAAAACUAAAUUCUGGCUUGAAAUUGAGGGUGUUUCAGUGGUUAGGCGACGACGCUGGUGAGGCGUCCUCCAAGGCGCUGAACGUGUACGCGCAGAAAAAAAAUGAAAAAUGAUGUCGUUUUGAAACAGAUUGAGUUUAAAUCCUUUCUAGGUCGCGACCCCAGAGUAUAGUGUUGGAGAGCCAAUUUCAGCCCUCUCUGUUCCAAAAGGUAGCAAAUUCGAUCCCUAACCCAAAGUUCGAGUUAAGAGUUCGAUUUCGAUUCGCAGCAGGCUAUUUGAUGAUUUUGGCCAAAGAUAAAGUCUGCAGCAAUUUCCUUGCUAGAUUUUGGCAAAGGUGAUUUGAUAUUGUCAAGCUGAAAUGGGCAACAGAAGUAGAUUCUCUUCAGGAAUGGGAUUCUUCUUCAGCAGCGUUUGUGUGCUGUUCUCGGUCCUCUUUUGAAGUCACAGCUGGAAGAUAUUAAGAUGGGUUGACAGUCCAGUUUUACCAAUUAUGAUGGGUUGACUGUCCGGUUAUAAAUGGGAGUCCAGUACCAUAUUCCAUAGUAAUUGAUACCAAUUAUAUAAUAUUGUGGUGGGUUGUCUAUUGUGUAUGAUACCACUUAUAUAAUACCGGUAGAGUCCAGUACCAUAUUCCAUAGUAAUUGAGUGUUAAUUUAUAUGCUCCACUUCAAGGAAUACGGUGCGUAGGGAGAUAGGGGGAUUGGAGCCGCUAGAACAAGAAGAUGCACAUGUUCAAGCAGUGGAAAAUAUGGCUGCAAGUGAGAGUGGUAGUGCUCAAACUCCACUUGGUGCUGGUUCUACGAGUCAACCGAAGUCAAGUGGACCGAUAGUCAAGCACCAAGUUCAAGUAAGUUUUAAGAAAUGUCUAUGUUUUUGUAAUUGUGUAACUUUAUGUGCAAAUAAUUUCUUUAUCGAUCUUUAGAUCUUUGAUUUCAUA
Long non-coding RNA from Rosa chinensis, 1195 nucleotides. RefSeq lists it as uncharacterized. The record is from RefSeq and is a predicted model, not a curated record. Lineage: Eukaryota; Viridiplantae; Streptophyta; Magnoliopsida; Rosales; Rosaceae. The transcript is spliced from 3 exons.